Molecule: ribosomal RNA, 165 nt
Filed under: Bidens pilosa (bur-marigold)
Lineage: Eukaryota; Viridiplantae; Streptophyta; Magnoliopsida; Asterales; Asteraceae
Description: 5.8S ribosomal RNA
Rfam family: 5.8S ribosomal RNA
About the family: 5.8S ribosomal RNA (5.8S rRNA) is a component of the large subunit of the eukaryotic ribosome.
Source: RNAcentral
UAAACGACUCUCGGCAACGGAUAUCUCGGCUCACGCAUCGAUGAAGAACGUAGCAAAAUGCGAUACUUGGUGUGAAUUGCAGAAUCCCGUGAACCAUCGAGUUUUUGAACGCAAGUUGCGCCCGAAGCCUUUUGGCCAAGGGCACGUCUGCCUGGGCGUCACGCA